UAUGGCGACCGGCGCACGGGUGAGUAACACGUAUCCAACCUGCCGAUGACUCGGGGAUAGCCUUUCGAAAGAAAGAUUAAUACCCGAUGGCAUAGUUCUUCCGCAUGGUAGAACUAUUAAAGAAUUUCGGUCAUCGAUGGGGAUGCGUUCCAUUAGGUUGUUGGCGGGGUAACGGCCCACCAAAGCGACGAUCGGUAGCCGGACUGAGAGGUUGAACGGCCACAUUGGGACUGAGACACGGCCCAGACUCCUACGGGAGGCAGCAUG
This 267-nucleotide ribosomal RNA is filed under the name uncultured bacterium. RNAcentral describes it as "partial 16S ribosomal RNA". It matches the Rfam family "Bacterial small subunit ribosomal RNA", at positions 87 to 353 of the family's 1533-position model. The record is from RNAcentral.